GUAGUCCCGGCCGUAAACGAUGUCGACUUGGAGGUUGUGCCCUUGAGGCGUGGCUUCCGGAGCUAACGCGUUAAGUCGACCGCCUGGGGAGUACGGCCGCAAGGUUAAAACUCAAAUGAAUUGACGGGGGCCCGCACAAGCGGUGGAGCAUGUGGUUUAAUUCGAUGCAACGCGAAGAACCUUACCUGGUCUUGACAUCCACGGAAGUUUUCAGAGAUGAGAAUGUGCCUUCGGGAACCGUGAGACAGGUGCUGCAUGGCUGUCGUCAGCUCGUGUUGUGAAAUGUUGGGUUAAGUCCCGCAACGAGCGCAACCCUUAUCCUUUGUUGCCAGCGGUCCGGCCGGGAACUCAAAGGAGACUGCCAGUGAUAAACUGGAGGAAGGUGGGGAUGACGUCAAGUCAUCAUGGCCCUUACGACCAGGGCUACACACGUGCUACAAUGGCGCAUACAAAGAGAAGCGACCUCGCGAGAGCAAGCGGACCUCAUAAAGUGCGUCGUAGUCCGGAUUGGAGUCUGCAACUCGACUCCAUGAAGUCGGAAUCGCUAGUAAUCGUGGAUCAGAAUGCCACGGUGAAUACGUUCCCGGGCCUUGUACACACCGCCCGUCACACCAUGGGAGUGGGUUGCAAAAGAAGUAGGUAGCUUAACCUUCGGGAGGGCGCUUACCACUUUGUGAUUCAUGACUGGGGUGAAGUCGUAACAAGGUAACCGUAGGGGAACCUGCGGCUGGAUCACCUCC
This 740-nucleotide ribosomal RNA is filed under the name uncultured bacterium. RNAcentral describes it as "bacterial SSU rRNA". It matches the Rfam family "Bacterial small subunit ribosomal RNA", at positions 790 to 1530 of the family's 1533-position model. The record is from RNAcentral.